AUUUAUUAUUAUUUUAUCUCUAGUUUUGGAAUAUCGAAUCUUGCUGCUACUAUUGUUUGUAGGUUGUGUAAAUUUUUAGCAAUUUGUUUGUUCUACCAUAAAGUAUAACUGUAGGAAAGGGUACGCAGGCUUCUAAAAGUGAAGAACAACUCUAACUUCUUUGGUAAGCGGAAAAGGUACUGCAAAGAAAAGCGUCACAUGACCGUUUUAAGAAUGGACUCUUUCGUUUGUUUUGCCCAAUGAACCUGUGCUUGGAACUGGCAGGGGGAUGGAUUGAUGAUACUUGUUGGUUAAACCAUGAAGAAUACGAAUAGAUGGACGAACGAGAAAGAGCCUCUAGCUGCAUCCAGGCAGAAACUAGUAGUUUCUGAAACAUUGUUUUGACAAAUACUGUUGCAGGUUGCAGGUUUUCAUUAAAUACCAAGCUAUCGGGAACUUCGCGAACACCGGGAACCUCGCAAACACUGGAAACCGUUGAGUUAUUAAAACGCUGGCGCUCAUCAACACCGGAGCGUACUGUCAAUUUGUCCAGCGGCAAGCCAUCUAUGGAGCUUCAGCCAUGGUACUGACAGCAGACAGCUGAUUCAUUUGGCAUGGCGUCGUUGACGAGAAUGGUAGACAUUGGAGGUUGUUUUCAUUGAAAUUUCUCCUUUGAUUUCCUGCAAUUUCAGGAUAUACAUAAUAUGCUGCGUUGGCCCAUUAGAUCCAUCCAUGACAAAAGGAAUGUCACAUAAAUUUCAGGUGGAAGGUGGAACAGAGAAAUUGUUUCAAUGUAAAUAAAAUAUAUCCAAUAUCA
Molecule: long non-coding RNA, 796 nt
Filed under: Daphnia magna
Lineage: Eukaryota; Metazoa; Arthropoda; Branchiopoda; Diplostraca; Daphniidae
Description: uncharacterized LOC116925275, transcript variant X4
Source: RNAcentral